This 507-nucleotide ribosomal RNA is filed under the name uncultured bacterium. Its description in RNAcentral is "partial 16S ribosomal RNA". It matches the Rfam family "Bacterial small subunit ribosomal RNA", at positions 28 to 507 of the family's 1533-position model. The record is from RNAcentral.
GACGAACGCUGGCGGCGUGCCUAAUACAUGCAAGUCGAACGCAUUUUCUUUCACCGUAGCUUGCUACACCGAAAGAAAAUGAGUCGCGAACGGGUGAGUAACACUUGCGUAACCUGCCCAUCAGCUGGGGAUAACACUUGGAAACAGGUGCUAAUACCGCAUAAUUCCAUUUACCGCAUGGUAGAUGGAUGAAAGGCGCUUUUGCGUCACUGAUGGAUGGACCUUCGGUGCAUUAGCUAGUUGGUGGGGUAACGGGCUACCAAGGCUGAGAUGCAUAGCCGACCUGAGAGGGUGAUCGGCCAAACUGGGAAUGGGACACGGCCCAGAAUCCUAAGGGAGGGAGCAGUAGGGAAUCUUCGGCCAUGGGGCGAAGUCUGACCGAGCAAAGCCGCGUGAGGGGAGGAGGUUUUCGGGUCGUAAAACUCUGUUGUUAGAGAAGAAAAAGAAUGGGAGUGGAAAGUUCAUACCUUGACGGUAUCUAACCAGAAAGCCACGGCUAACUACGUG